GGUGGUAUGUUCUACCAUGGGCAAGGGAAUGAUACACUUACAAAAACUGUAAAGACUAAGGUGUCAAAUACUGAUGGCCUCACGUCUCUCCAAAUGAUACCCGAAACGAAAUAGAAAAAAGAAAGCGUAUAGUGACUUUUGGGACACCCUGUAAA
Long non-coding RNA from Octopus sinensis (East Asian common octopus), 155 nucleotides. RefSeq lists it as uncharacterized. The record is from RefSeq and is a predicted model, not a curated record. The transcript has 3 exons. Lineage: Eukaryota; Metazoa; Mollusca; Cephalopoda; Octopoda; Octopodidae.